UGGGGAAUAUUGCACAAUGGGCGCAAGCCUGAUGCAGCAACGCCGCGUGAGCGAUGAAGGCCUUCGGGUCGUAAAGCUCUGUCCGAGGGGAAGAAUAAAUGACGGUACCCUUGGAGGAAGCCCCGGCUAACUACGUGCCAGCAGCCGCGGUAAUACGUAGGGGGCAAGCGUUAUCCGGAAUUAUUGGGCGUAAAGAGUGCGUAGGUGGUUUUAUAAGCGAGUGGUGAAAGGCUACAGCUCAACUGUAGUAAGCCUUUCGAACUGUAAAACUUGAGUGCAGGAGAGGAAAGUGGAAUUCCUAGUGUAGCGGUGAAAUGCGUAGAUAUUAGGAGGAACACCAGUGGCGAAGGCGACUUUCUGGACUGUUACUGACACUGAGGCACGAAAGCGUGGGGAGCAAACAGG
RNAcentral lists this ribosomal RNA (405 nucleotides) under uncultured bacterium. RNAcentral's name for it is "bacterial SSU rRNA". It matches the Rfam family "Bacterial small subunit ribosomal RNA", at positions 355 to 776 of the family's 1533-position model. The record is from RNAcentral.